UGAGGAAUAUUGCGCGAUGGGGGCAACCCUGACGCAGCAACGCCGCGUGAGUGAGGAAGGUUUUCGGACCGUAAAGCUCUGUCGAGCGGGAAGAAAUGCAUAGUGGCUAAUAUCCAUUAUAUUUGACGGUACCGCUAAAGGAAGCACCGGCUAACUCCGUGCCAGCAGCCGCGGUAAUACGGGGGGUGCUAGCGUUGUUCGGAAUCAUUGGGCGUAAAGAGCGUGUAGGCGGCUGGAUAAGUCAGAUGUGAAAGCCCUGGGCUUAACCCAGGAAGUGCAUUUGAAACUGUUCAGCUUGAGUAAGGGAGAGGAAAGUGGAAUUCCUGGUGUAGAGGUGAAAUUCGUAGAUAUCAGGAGGAACACCGGUGGCGAAGGCGACUUUCUGGCCCUAUACUGACGCUGAGACGCGAGAGCGUGGGUAGCAAACA
RNAcentral lists this ribosomal RNA (428 nucleotides) under uncultured prokaryote. Its description in RNAcentral is "bacterial SSU rRNA". It matches the Rfam family "Bacterial small subunit ribosomal RNA", at positions 355 to 774 of the family's 1533-position model. The record is from RNAcentral.